Molecule: ribosomal RNA, 522 nt
Filed under: Pseudomonas sp.
Lineage: Bacteria; Pseudomonadati; Pseudomonadota; Gammaproteobacteria; Pseudomonadales; Pseudomonadaceae
Description: bacterial SSU rRNA
Rfam family: Bacterial small subunit ribosomal RNA
Source: RNAcentral
GCGCGAUUGAAUGAGCCGAUGUCGGAUUAGCUAGUUGGCGGGGUAAAGGCCCACCAAGGCGACGAUCCGUAGCUGGUCUGAGAGGAUGAUCAGCCACACUGGAACUGAGACACGGUCCAGACUCCUACGGGAGGCAGCAGUGGGGAAUAUUGGACAAUGGGCGCAAGCCUGAUCCAGCCAUACCGCGUGGGUGAAGAAGGCCUUCGGGUUGUAAAGCCCUUUUGUUGGGAAAGAAAUCCAGCCGGCUAAUACCCGGUUGGGAUGACGGUACCCAAAGAAUAAGCACCGGCUAACUUCGUGCCAGCAGCCGCGGUAAUACGAAGGGUGCAAGCGUUACUCGGAAUUACUGGGCGUAAAGCGUGCGUAGGUGGUCGUUUAAGUCCGUUGUGAAAGCCCUGGGCUCAACCUGGGAACUGCAGUGGAUACUGGGCGACUAGAGUGUGGUAGAGGGUAGCGGAAUUCCUGGUGUAGCAGUGAAAUGCGUAGAGAUCAGGAGGAACAUCCAUGGCGAAGGCAGCUACC